UUGCUUUGUUUUGGUGUUUUAACUUUUAAUUUUACAUUCUUUGAGUCUAGUUUAGUGUUUUAAACUUUGUUUUUACAUUAUUGAGUCAGUUUUCAAGAGAUUAGCAAUCCCUCCUAAUCCCCGGUUUAGAACGAUCCCUACUUACAUAUUUACUACAAUUUGACAAAAGAGGGUUUAAUUUGUGUGCUUAAUAUAUUUCGCAUCAAAGCAAUUGUGACUAGCAACCUUCACUACUUGUCAAUAUAAGUUCGUAACGAUUAGGUGAAACUCCCUUAUAUUCUAGCAUCAAAUUCAUGCAUGAAAAUUAAGCGUGCACUCUCAACCAACAUACACAAAUCAGUUUUUAUACGAACGGAUAAGUAAAUUGAAUUCACAACUUAUAAAACACAACUGGAUGUAAUCAAAUCAUAUUGCAAGCAUGAACAUGGUUUCGAAUCAUCCCCUAACUAAAAGGGUUUAGUUCCUCAUACUCACAAAACAAAGAUUAUUGAAUUGAAACAUUGAAAACAAAAGAAAGAUUACACCUAGAAACGCUCCAACAAUCCAACGUCUUGAAUGGCAAGCACGUCCAAGGGUUUCCUUCUUUCUUCUUUGCUACGACACAAGGGUGUUUGGUGAUGAUUUGUUGUGAAUUGUGGUGGUGGAUGGAUGUAGGUAGGUUAUGGUGAAGGAUGGAAUCUUCUCCAGAAUGGUGCGGCAAUAACAUAUAUAUAUAGGAGAGGUUAAGGCACGGUUUGGAACUGAAAUUGGCUAAGUUUAAAUUUCCAAAUCCUCCAAGAAAAGGUAAGAAAUCAGAAUUAAAAGGAGAAAAGGUAAGGUGAUGUGCGGCAAAGACUAGAAAAUUAAGGGAAUGUGAUUUCCUUGCAGAUUUGGUGCCACAAUAAAGGUAAGUUGGAGGGUUGGGUGCGGCAACUUCCUAGGCAGGUUCUAGGACUUCUAGAAACAUGUAAUUAGGCAACCUAACAUGUUUUGAAACCCUUUUGUGGCUGGAAUAUAGGUGAGAAAGGAUUAGGAAACUUCCAAGCCAAGAAUAGAAACUUUCAAGAAUGGAAACCUCCAAGAAUAGAAACUUUGGUUUCCAAUUAUGAACUCUUUGUUCUUCAUUUUCAUUUCUUCAUUUCAUUAUUCAUUCCUAGCCUCCUUUGAUCUUCAAUUUCGUCCAUCCACCUUGCUCCAAGCAUAAGCUAUCCAUUCCAUGCCCAAAACUGCUCCAAAAGGCUCCAAAAUGCACAUGUUUGCAUACUUUAUCCUUAAAACCUGAAAUUGCACGAAAAUAGCUUAAAAUACUAAAAUUACUAAGUACUAGCAACGUAGAUGCAAGGAAACAAGCUAAUUAAGUCGCAUAAAUAUGCUCUUAUCAUGGCUCCCUUCCCCUUUACUUGGGUUCCCCUCAAUUCCAAUUAAAUAAUGUCUUACAUAUUCCUUAUCUUAAAAAAAAUCUUUUGUUUGUUUCAAGGCCGCUGUAAGGAUCAUUUUUAGCCCAUGUCUCCAUCUCGUCUAUCUGCUUUCCAUGACAUCUCCUCCUCCUUGUCGCACUCUUGUCUUGGUCAUCUGUAAUCUUAAGUUUUAUCUAAACUGUCUUUAGAUUUUAUGUCUACUUUAAAUAAAGAGUUUUAUAAACCCCGUGCACAUUCUAAGUCCACAUCAAGAAAACAGAGAAUAUGUGACGGAAUUACUUGUUGAUAGAAGCAUAUUUAUGUGACUUUGUUAUCUUAUUUCUUUGCUUUUACUUAGUUAAUUUCCAUUUAUUUUGGUAAUUUAUGUUAUUUUCGUAUUAUUGUAGGUCCAAUUGGUAAAGAUGACAAUAAAUGGCAAAGUGGGGCAAUUUGAAGCAGUUUUUGACUUGGAUUGGAUAGCAUACGUGGAUAGCUUAUGGGAUGGACAUUUUGUUGUUUAAAUGGUGCUAGAUAUGUGCUAAAAUCUAGUGAAAUUAAAGUUGAAGUUUGGAAGACAAGGAAUUACACAAGAAAGAGGAAUUCUAGUUGGAGAGGAACCUUAUCUUAUCUAACCUUAUCUUAUCUUAUCUUAUCCAAUCUUACCUUAUUUUAUCUCCAGCUGCAAGGAGGAACCCUUAUCAUAUUUCAACACUUCCUAUCUGAUUCUAGGAGUCCUAAAAUAAUUCAAACAACCUAAUCUUUUUCCUCCUGGGAUUUAGCUGUGCCCUUACCCUAUAUAUACAUUAUUGCCGCAAAUUAGAGAGGAGAUGAGGGUGCCAUGCCUACCAUUCAUCCAUUGAAGUCGCUAGAGUUUUCUGGGUUCUUUCUAUCUUUGUUUUAAGUUUCAAUGUUUAUUUUAGAUUAUUUUUUAGUUAUGAUGAACAUGUGUAACUAAGUUUCUUUUAAGUUAGAGGUGAAUUCAAAGCCAUGAUCAUAUGUUUUAUAUAAAUUGAUUACAUCCAGUUAUUGUUUCAUAACACAUGAAUGCGAUUUACUUAUUUGCUUUAUAAUCUUGUAUAUUUAUUAAGGGUGCACACUUAGUUUGCAUGCAGGGAUUUGAUGCUAGAAUAUAAGGGAAUUUUACUUAAUCGUUAUGAACUUAUAUUUGCAAGUAGUAAAAGUCACUAGUCAUGACUAAGUUAAGUAAAUUCUUGGCAGGAGUAUCAUGUUUUUCAUAGUUACGAAUGCUUUGUCAAUACUUAUGAUUUUCACAGAACGUAAUGAUCUUUGAGAUGUAUCUUUAUCAUGCUUUUCAUAGUUAGGGAACUUGAGAAGAAUAAUUUGGUUGCGUCGCCAAUUCAAUGAACUUAGGAAAAUAUGAGAGUUAAUAAGUGCUGUUCACAAUUAAUUUGGGGCAUUGUCAUUCAUGGUUUAUAGGAAGAAUAAUUGGAAAUCGAUUUGUAUGCAUAUGUUUCAUGUGUGGAGAAGAAUCCUCUAGCUAUCCUCUCACCAAUAUUUCAUUCACAAUUUAAUUUACUUGCUGCCCUUUACUUCUGUUUUAAUUAAAUUCAUCCAAAAUCCCCCCUCACCGUUUUGUUGUUAGUUUAACUUAAUUUUCAGUUUUAUAAGUUUAAUUUGUGUUGAUUAGCAUCCCUUUUAAUCCCCGGAAUAGAAUGAUUCCUACUUACUUAUACUACGAUUGCAUAAUUUAUAUGGUUUAAUUUGUGUGUUAGUUUCUACCACAUCACUUGUGGCGCCUAGACAUUCGUCAUAUUUCACUGAAAUAGGUGAGGAGAUUUGAGAAACCGUCACAUAAAAAACUUUAGCAGGACUCGAAAUAUUUUUUAGAUUUUAUGCAUCACAUACUUUUAGAUUCGCCACGUAUAAAUGUGCUGGAAAUUUUACUGCCGAAAUGAAAAUCAAUUAGUGACGAAUUUUUAGAAUGUGUCACAUAACUAGGUAAUGCAACAAAAAUAUAUGUAAGGCUAAUUCAUGCCUCACCCAUUGUAUAUAAAAAAGAAAAAUGAUUUAAUACUAAUAAAAUAAAAUAAAAGUAAAACUUUUAGGGAUUAAAUCAGAACUCCUCUUUCAUCAAAAUUACUUCGUCCGCAUUGCUCACCCACUCCAUUUCCAGUUGCUCUCCAAUAACUAAUGCGAUGAAAGUUAAGCACUCAAAUUAAACCCUCUUGUUGUCAAAUUGUAGUAAAAAUGCAAGUAGGGAUCGUUCUAAACCAGGGAUUAGGAGGGCUUACUAAAACCUCUAAACUAACUCAAAAAAACAUAAAAACAAAGUGAAAAACGUUUGAAUACACUCAAAGGACUCAAAACAGAUUCUAUAGACGCAAAACAACUUAAAAACACUCAAAAUUGCCUAAAAACACUUACUGGGCAGAUUUGACUCUAACACAACUUUGGAUGAAUUUAGUGUUUUGGUUUAAAUCAAAACACUAAAAAACACUAACGAAAUAGAAAUUUAACACUUUGAAACAACAAAGUAAAAGGGGGAUUUUGGUUUUGACGAAUUCGAAACAAACAACAACUUAUAAAAUUAGACAGGUUGUAAAGCGAAUUUAAGAAAUGAGAUGAUGGAUGGAUUAGUUAGUGAUGCGAAAAUAACUUAACACACAAAUUAAACCCUCUUGUUGUCAAUUGUAGUAAAGAAUGUAAGUAGGGAUCGUUCUAGGCCGGGGAUUAGGAGGGAUUGCUAAAACACUUGAAACUGACUUAAAUAUGUGAAAACAAACUUAAAAGCAUGAAAUUAAACUUACAAGACUGAAAACAAAGUCACAAGACUCAAAACAGAUUAUAGAGACUCAAAACUGCCUAAAAACAACUCUAAGGCAGUUUCUGCCACUAACACAAAGUUUGGACGACAAUUGAUUUUAUCUUGACUUAAAACACUUAAAAAAACAAUCUAAAACAAGUACUAACUAAUAUGACUUAAUAAAAUAAAGGGGAUUUUGGUUUUGGACGAAGAUAAGGGAAACAAAGCAAGAACAAUUUAAACAGAUUCUUAGACAAAUUUAGGUGAAUUGAUGGGUGAUGGAUUAAACUAUGGAUGAUGGGCUAGCUAGAGGGUUCUUCUCCACACAUGACAUACUUGCACAUAAACCAAUUUUCAGUUGUUCUUUCGAUCAAUCAUGAAACUAAACACCCCAGGUUAAUUAAGUCCGCUUAAAUUAACCUUCAAGUUCUCCUUAAGUUAUUGAAUUGGAUGGGAAAGC
Molecule: long non-coding RNA, 4600 nt
Filed under: Malus domestica (apple)
Lineage: Eukaryota; Viridiplantae; Streptophyta; Magnoliopsida; Rosales; Rosaceae
Description: long non-coding RNA (MDOM_LNC016814)
Source: RNAcentral